RNA transcript from Sycon ciliatum, 759 nucleotides. RefSeq lists it as uncharacterized. NCBI's taxonomy places the organism in Eukaryota, Metazoa, Porifera, Calcarea, Leucosolenida, Sycettidae. The record is from RefSeq and is a predicted model, not a curated record. The transcript is spliced from 5 exons.
GCUUUGACUUUGAUGGCUUUCAGCUUCUAUUUUUUGAAAAGUAGCGCGCUCAGACCAGCUCGCUCACUCUUUUCCUCUUCCAUUUUUUAGGGCAAUUGUUUUGUUUGAUAGACGAAGCUUAGGGUCUCUUUGGGUUUGCAACCCUUACCCUCCUGGAAAAAAUCAUAGUUGCUAGACUGCGACACUUCAGACCAGGUACUAUUAGAGCCGCUAAUGGACGACGAGCUAUUUUCCGCUAUCCGGAGCUCAAGCAUUUGAGCCGCUAAAUGGACGAGACUCCUGGGGUAAAGGAUGCAGAGAAUGAGGAGAAAACACUCGUAUGGAGCAGGGAGUAGGUAUUGUACUACUUCCUGGUAUGGAGCACUGAGAAGCGCAUUAGGCGAUUUGAUCGCACGACAAGAGAGGAGCUGAUGGACGAUCUCUCCAGUGUCCCUCUUGGUUCGGAGCAGCGCCGAGUGCCGACGUUGGGACUUGGAGUUCUAGCAUCCGUAGCUGCCUCAGGGGGUGCCACUUCUCCCAUCAGCGUCGACUAGUCCGCCGAUCUCACUCAGCUCUGCUCUCCGAGCAUUCUGCUUCCAACACGACUUCCCGAAAGAAAAUGUGCUCGCGCAUUAGGAGGUGAAAGAUGCACCUGCAGGAGAAUACAUGCUUAAGAGAAGGCAGAAACAUGCCCGGAUCCACCAGAACUAGUGCUGGCAAGUCAACAGAGGCGAGUACUGAUAAUGUUCCAGAUUGUGGUAGGAUCACAUAAGCAAAAUU